Molecule: ribosomal RNA, 381 nt
Filed under: uncultured marine Chaetocerotaceae
Lineage: Eukaryota; Bacillariophyta; Thalassiosirophyceae; Chaetocerotales; Chaetocerotaceae
Description: SSU rRNA
Rfam family: Eukaryotic small subunit ribosomal RNA
Source: RNAcentral
AGCUCCAAUAGCGUAUAUUAAUGUUGUUGCAGUUAAAAAGCUCGUAGUUGCAUUUCCGAGGCAAGGGAUUAGUCCGACCUUUGGUGGGUAUUUAAUCCUCUUGCCUCGUCCUUGAGUGGUGCUUCUUGGUAUUAAGUUAUCGAGGAGAUAGCCGCUCAUCGUUUACUGUGAGAAAAUUAGAGUGUUCAAAGCAGGCUUAUGCCGUUGAAUAUAUUAGCAUGGAAUAAUAAGAUAGGACCUCGGUACUAUUUUGUUGGUUUGAGAACCAAGGUAAUGAUGAAUAGGGACAGUUGGGGGUAUUCGUAUUCAGUUGUCAGAGGUGAAAUUCUUAGAUUUACGGAAGACGAACUACUGCGAAAGCAUUUACCAAGGAUGUUUUCA